This 254-nucleotide ribosomal RNA is filed under the name uncultured bacterium. Its description in RNAcentral is "partial 16S ribosomal RNA". It matches the Rfam family "Bacterial small subunit ribosomal RNA", at positions 524 to 776 of the family's 1533-position model. The record is from RNAcentral.
UACGUAGGGUGCGAGCGUUGUCCGGAAUUAUUGGGCGUAAAGAGCUCGUAGGCGGUGUGUCACGUCGUUCGUGAAAACCUGCAGCUUAACUGUGGGCGUGCGGUCGAUACGGGCAUCACUGGAGUUCGGCAGGGGAGACUGGAAUUCCUGGUGUAGCGGUGAAAUGCGCAGAUAUCAGGAGGAACACCGGUGGCGAAGGCGGUGAUCUGGGCCGACACUGACGCUGUAGAGCGAAAGCGUGGGGAGCGAACAGG